GGGCGCAUAGCUCAGCUGGUAGAGCGUUUCGUUGACAUCGAAAAGGUCUCAGGUUCAAGUCCUGAUGCGCCCA
RNAcentral lists this transfer RNA (73 nucleotides) under Candidatus Gottesmanbacteria bacterium RBG_16_52_11. RNAcentral describes it as "tRNA-Val". It matches the Rfam family "tRNA". From Rfam's summary of the family: Transfer RNA (tRNA) molecules are approximately 80 nucleotides in length. Their secondary structure includes four short double-helical elements and three loops (D, anti-codon, and T loops). The record is from RNAcentral. Lineage: Bacteria; Candidatus Gottesmaniibacteriota.